UUUUUUUUAUUAAAUAAAAAAAAAUCAUUACUUCGUAUUUAAAAGUAGGCUGACAUUUUUGUUAUAUACAAAGUAUUUUAAAGAGACAAAACCCAAAACCCUAAUUUCAUUUCCUCUAAACCCAUACCCCCACCGCCUCUCUCUCCUCUCUACUCUCUCUCUCUCUCUCUCUCUCUCUAUCUUAACAGCUGAAAUCACUCAUCCUAACAUCCGAAAUCACUCAUCCUAUCUCACAUUCUCCUGCUAAACACUUUAUACCUCUUAAUCCCUCCAAAGCUGUUAUCAAACACCACGGUAAAGAUAUUCUCAAGAAAUAUCAGAGAAAGAAUCGUUAUCUUUUCUCCUUUUCUAGGCUUUUAGCUCCAAUUUUUGGUGGUAAAAUUGGUGAGCUCACUGGUUUGGGCUCUAAAAAUCCUGUCCUUUACCUUGAUUUUCCUCGGGUAUUCUUGUUCUUCAGUUGAAUUGGUUUUUUGAUUAUUUUUUGGUUCAUAAUUUGGUGUUCUAUGGGCUGAAUUAGGGAUUUUGUGGUCAUUUGUUGAUUGUUUGCAGUUCUUAAUUGUUGGUUUUCUUUGUUGUUGUUAAUAUGGUGUUCUAUGGGGUAAAACUGGGAUUUCUAGUCAUUUGAUGAUUGUUGGCAGUUCUUAUUUUGUGGAGUUUUUGUUUUUGAUUUUUUUUUCUUUGUUUAGUGAUCAAUUAUGGAGUGAACUCAAUAAGUAAGUGAGGUGGAUGCGAAUUCUAUUGGUUUGUGCUGACGACAUCAAUCUCUAAGCCCCUUCUAUUUCACAUUUCCUCUAGUUCCUAAGUUCAAAUUUACUCUUUCUUUGUAAAUUAACCCAAUUUCAAGCUUAUUAAUUGUUUUAGUUUGCCGUUUGCCAAUUUUUUCAGGGUUUCGGGACAAGAAAGUUAAGUUUAUGGUGUCUCAACAAAGAAGUGGGUCUAACCCAUCUUCCAAGCUUGGGGUCAUCACGCGGCCGACAGACUUUGCCUCUUUCCUUUUUGGUGAUGAUGACUUCGGGGAAGACGGAUGUGCUAGCCGCCUAUCCCUCUUCAACAGAAUGGAUCAUCUUUCUCAGACGGUCCUUGGUGCCCCGGAUAGUUAAGCCACCUCUGGCGAAUUUGCCUGCUAUUGUAUAGACCGGUUCUUCAUCGGUUUCGGAACUUGGAAGUCACUUUGGACUUCACAUAGGAGUUCAACGCUCCUUCGUUGGCCUGACGGUCUGUUUGAGGUUGUAAUAGUCGUUUGUGUCAUGGCCGACAUCCUCAUGGUAAUGACAGUGUUUGUUUUUGUUCUGAUUUUUAGCGGAUGCUUUUAUAGGAGUCGGCUUCUCUUGAGUCAGCCGAUCCUUUAUCUCCAUGAGGAUGAAAUAGCUUUCCUUGUGGAACUCGUUUCUUGGAAUGUACGAAUUUCCAAUCUUUCUUUUUCUUCUAGGUCGGCUAAUCGAAGUUAUCAACCGCCCA
Long non-coding RNA from Chenopodium quinoa (quinoa), 1458 nucleotides. RefSeq lists it as uncharacterized. The transcript has 2 exons. The record is from RefSeq and is a predicted model, not a curated record. NCBI's taxonomy places the organism in Eukaryota, Viridiplantae, Streptophyta, Magnoliopsida, Caryophyllales, Amaranthaceae.